RNAcentral lists this ribosomal RNA (171 nucleotides) under uncultured bacterium. RNAcentral's name for it is "partial 16S ribosomal RNA". It matches the Rfam family "Bacterial small subunit ribosomal RNA", at positions 338 to 524 of the family's 1533-position model. The record is from RNAcentral.
CUUACGGGAGGCAGCAGUGGGGAAUUUUCCGCAAUGGGCGAAAGCCUGACGGAGCAACGCCGCGUGAGGGAUGAAGGCCUCUGGGCUGUAAACCUCUUUUAUCAAGGAAGAAGAUCUGACGGUACUUGAUGAAUAAGCCACGGCUAAUUCCGUGCCAGCAGCCGCGGUAAU